GAACGCUGGCGGCAGGCCUAACACAUGCAAGUCGAGCGGUAGAGAGGUGCUUGCACCUCUUGAGAGCGGCGGACGGGUGAGUAAUACCUAGGAAUCUGCCUGGUAGUGGGGGAUAACGUUCGGAAACGGACGCUAAUACCGCAUACGUCCUACGGGAGAAAGCAGGGGACCUUCGGGCCUUGCGCUAUCAGAUGAGCCUAGGUCGGAUUAGCUAGUUGGUGAGGUAAUGGCUCACCAAGGCUACGAUCCGUAACUGGUCUGAGAGGAUGAUCAGUCACACUGGAACUGAGACACGGUCCAGACUCCUACGGGAGGCAGCAGUGGGGAAUAUUGGACAAUGGGCGAAAGCCUGAUCCAGCCAUGCCGCGUGUGUGAAGAAGGUCUUCGGAUUGUAAAGCACUUUAAGUUGGGAGGAAGGGCAUUAACCUAAUACGUUAGUGCUUUGACGUUACCGACAGAAUAAGCACCGGCUAACUCUGUG
RNAcentral lists this ribosomal RNA (481 nucleotides) under uncultured bacterium. RNAcentral describes it as "bacterial SSU rRNA". It matches the Rfam family "Bacterial small subunit ribosomal RNA", at positions 31 to 507 of the family's 1533-position model. The record is from RNAcentral.